GACGAACGCUGGCGGCGUGCUUAACACAUGCAAGUCGAACGGAAAGGCCCUGCUUUUGUGGGGUGCUCGAGUGGCGAACGGGUGAGUAACACGUGAGUAACCUGCCCUUGACUUUGGGAUAACUUCAGGAAACUGGGGCUAAUACCGGAUAGGAGCUCCUGCUGCAUGGUGGGGGUUGGAAAGUUUCGGCGGGUGGGGAUGGACUCGCGGCUUAUCAGCUUGUUGGUGGGGUAGUGGCUUACCAAGGCUUUGACGGGUAGCCGGCCUGAGAGGGUGACCGGCCACAUUGGAACUGAGAUACGGCCCAGACUCCAACGGGAGGCAGCAGUGGGGAAUAUUGCACAAUGGGCGGAAGCCUGAUGCAGCAACGCCGCGUGCGGGAUGACGGCCUUCGGGUUGUAAACCGCUUUCGCCUGUGACGAAGCGUGAGUGACGGUAAUGGGUAAAGAAGCACCGGCUAACUACGUG
RNAcentral lists this ribosomal RNA (468 nucleotides) under uncultured bacterium. Its description in RNAcentral is "partial 16S ribosomal RNA". It matches the Rfam family "Bacterial small subunit ribosomal RNA", at positions 28 to 507 of the family's 1533-position model. The record is from RNAcentral.